RNAcentral lists this ribosomal RNA (163 nucleotides) under uncultured bacterium. RNAcentral's name for it is "partial 16S ribosomal RNA". It matches the Rfam family "Bacterial small subunit ribosomal RNA", at positions 355 to 510 of the family's 1533-position model. The record is from RNAcentral.
UAGGGAAUCUUCCACAAUGGACGCAAGUCUGAUGGAGCAACGCCGCGUGAGUGAAGAAGGGUUUCGGCUCGUAAAGCUCUGUUGUUAAAGAAGAACGUGGGUAAGAGUAACUGUUUACCCAGUGACGGUAUUUAACCAGAAAGCCACGGCUAACUACGUACAG